UUCUCCCUAGUGCAACGUUAUAGCCUUGUCCUCCUAGCUGUCAAAUACACAACAAACAAAAUAAAAUAGCGUAAAACAUAAUCCACACAAAUAUCUGACAUGUUUAAAAACAUAAUUCCAAAAGUUUUUUUUUGUAAAACUCUGUAUAUUUACAUAAGAUGAAACGGGUGGAGUAAUAAUAACCACAUAAUUCCGAAAGGCAUUUUUUAAAAAACUUCUUAUCCAAUCAAAUAAUUUUACACGAUGAAACGGGUGGAGUAAUAAUGAUGAAACAGGUGUAAUAAUAGUAACUGGUCACAAAACUUAUAAUAAAUUAACCUGCUAUCACAUAUUCAUUGAUCAUAUGAAAAAUUCUUAAUACUAUCUGUGUAUACGAGUAAAAUCCUAAAGGUAUAUACUCUGAUAAUGUAUAUUUAAUUGUUUGGCCUAAUAAUUCAAUUUUAGGUUUAACAAUUAAUCUACUUAUUUUUAUUGCAAAAUUGGUCCUGAUUGCCAUAUUAUUGACAUAUCUUACUGUUGAUAGAAGUCAACUCUUAAUCUAAUAACAUAAAAUUGUUUUUCACUGUCGUGUGUAGCGAACAGAAACUCUAUAUAUACCGCAAAACCAUUGGGGUGGAAUUUGGGUGGCGGUAAAUAAUCGUUUAAGUAAAAAUUGGUACGUUAGAGAUAGAAAAUUAAUGAACAUACUUUA
This 691-nucleotide long non-coding RNA is filed under the name Nicotiana benthamiana. Its description in RNAcentral is "long non-coding RNA (NBEN_LNC019180)". The record is from RNAcentral. Lineage: Eukaryota; Viridiplantae; Streptophyta; Magnoliopsida; Solanales; Solanaceae.